Molecule: non-coding RNA, 30 nt
Filed under: Mus musculus (house mouse)
Lineage: Eukaryota; Metazoa; Chordata; Mammalia; Rodentia; Muridae
Source: RNAcentral
UAGACAGUUGAUGCUGGCAAGACCAAGACC